AGGAUAGAAAUGGAGCACCCAUUUUUUCCGACGACCACCACAAGCGCGGAGGUUUUGCGGUUGCUGACGAUCGCGGAAGAGCUUCUUUGGAAGCGUGACCUGAUGAGGAGUAAGUCCUUUGCGACCCGGGCGCGUGAUUCUGACCCGACCCUAUUACCUGCCGACCAAAUUUUGGCUGUGACUGACACGCUUCUCUCUGGCGACCGGCGGAUCGGAAACGACCUGCAGGACUGGUAUUCGAUUCUUCAAGUCUCGCCUCACCAGGGCCGUGACAUGGAGGUUGUGGCGUCUCAGUACCGCCGCCUGGCUCUUCUCCUAAACCCACUUAAGAAUAAGUUCGCAUUUGCUGAGGCUCCUUAUGUAUUCAGGUUUCUUCAUCUAGGGUUUGUUUGAUUGUGGCUUUAUAUUCCAAUUUUUGACAAGAGAUCUAACGAAUUUGAAUGUGUGGUGUAGGCGAGUGAUUAUGGAGCCACAACGGUUGUCCUGUGCAUGACUGCAGUAGGUGUGACUGUCCUACAAGCGACUGCACUAUGCGUGGUUGUUUGUUGGCGAGUGACUGCGGUGGUGCAAGUUGUGACGGUUUUCAACUACGGUCAACGGUGGUUGUUUUCUAGAGGAAGAAAGAGGGGGGGGGGGGGGGGGGGGGGGGGGGGUUGGGGGGGACACGGAGAGAGUGUGUGUGGAUUUGGGGGAAAUGAGGUGGGGUUGAGGGAGGUAGGGUUGGUUUAUAAAUUAUUUUAAUAUAAUAAUAUAUUUAUCUAAUAAUAAUUUAUUAAUUAACAAACACAUCCGAUUUUUGAAAUAGUAAACGUAGUAUGUAAUUUAUGAAGUGAGAUUUUUAAAAGUGGGCUUCUAUAUAAUUUCCGCUAAUUAUUAAGGCACCGUGGCUAUCUUUUCUCUCUAACAUUACGUGGGCUGGGCCGUUAAAUACCAGUAGGCCCAAUUCACUCUCGCUGUCCACCAGGAAGAAGAAUAGUAAGAAAUUGUGCAUGGUGGUGGAGGGUUAAGCGUCACCGUUUUGCACAUGUCUUCAAUUUUGAAACAUGGCAAAGUCUAAAACCUUUUAACAACGUCACAGUCUAUACUCACACCUAUACAUCCACUCCGUUUUAAUUUACUUUUCUAUCCUCAAAAUAUCCAACUACCCCUUCUUUUCUUUAAAACUCGUGGGCUUUUCCGUCAAAUCAUAGUUCCCCUCUUUCUUCUUGCACUACUACCUCAGUAUGGCAGUAUCCCUUUCAUUCUAUUUCACAUAUUACUUCUCCAAUUACAAGGAGAAGAAGGAAAAGUUAAUCGUUUUCGGCAAAUUUAAGGAUAGAAAUGGAGCACCCAUUUUUUCCGACGACCACCACAAGCGCGGAGGUUUUGCGGUUGCUGACGAUCGCGGAAGAGCUUCUUUGGAAGCGUGACCUGAUGAGGAGUAAGUCCUUUGCGACCCGGGCGCGUGAUUCUGACCCGACCCUAUUACCUGCCGACCAAAUUUUGGCUGUGACUGACACGCUUCUCUCUGGCGACCGGCGGAUCGGAAACGACCUGCAGGACUGGUAUUCGAUUCUUCAAGUCUCGCCUCACCAGGGCCGUGACAUGGAGGUUGUGGCGUCUCAGUACCGCCGCCUGGCUCUUCUCCUAAACCCACUUAAGAAUAAGUUCGCAUUUGCUGACCAGGCCUUCCGC
This 1674-nucleotide long non-coding RNA is filed under the name Olea europaea (common olive). RNAcentral describes it as "long non-coding RNA (OEUR_LNC005950)". Lineage: Eukaryota; Viridiplantae; Streptophyta; Magnoliopsida; Lamiales; Oleaceae. The record is from RNAcentral.